RNAcentral lists this ribosomal RNA (412 nucleotides) under uncultured prokaryote. Its description in RNAcentral is "bacterial SSU rRNA". It matches the Rfam family "Bacterial small subunit ribosomal RNA", at positions 505 to 918 of the family's 1533-position model. The record is from RNAcentral.
GUGUCAGCCGCCGCGGUAAUACUUAGGGAGCAAGCGUUGUCCGGAUUCACUGGGUGUAAAGGGUGCGCAGGCGGACUGUGCAAGUCGGUGGUGAAAUCUUGCGGCUUAACCGCAAAAUUGCCUCCGAUACUGCCAGUCUUGAGUUCGGGAGAGGUCGAUGGAAUUCCAGGUGUAGCGGUGAAAUGCGUAGAUAUCUGGAAGAACACCAGUAGCGAAGGCGGUCGACUGGCCCGUAACUGACGCUCAGGCACGAAAGCGUGGGUAGCAAACAGGAUUAGAUACCCUGGUAGUCCACGCCCUAAACGAUGUAUGCUUGGUGUUGGCUCGCAUGAGUCGGUGCCGUAGGUAACCUGAUAAGCAUACCACCUGGGGAGUACGCUCGCAAGGGUGAAACUCAAAUGAAUUGACGGGG